RNAcentral lists this ribosomal RNA (255 nucleotides) under uncultured bacterium. RNAcentral's name for it is "partial 16S ribosomal RNA". It matches the Rfam family "Bacterial small subunit ribosomal RNA", at positions 524 to 777 of the family's 1533-position model. The record is from RNAcentral.
UACGAAGGGGGCUAGCGUUGCUCGGAAUCACUGGGCGUAAAGGGUGCGUAGGCGGGUCUUUAAGUCAGGGGUGAAAUCCUGGAGCUCAACUCCAGAACUGCCUUUGAUACUGAGGAUCUUGAGUUCGGGAGAGGUGAGUGGAACUGCGAGUGUAGAGGUGAAAUUCGUAGAUAUUCGCAAGAACACCAGUGGCGAAGGCGGCUCACUGGCCCGAUACUGACGCUGAGGCACGGAAAGCGUGGGGAGCAAACAGGG